CCUACGGGUGGCAGCAGUGGGGAAUAUUGGGCAAUGGGCGCAAGCCUGACCCAGCAACGCCGCGUGAAGGAAGAAGGCUUUCGGGUUGUAAACUUCUUUUCUGAGGGACGAAGAAAGUGACGGUACCUCAGGAAUAAGCCACGGCUAACAACGUGCAAGCAGCCGCGGUAAUCCGGAGGGGGCAAGCUUUAUCCGGAUUCAUUGGGUGUAAAGGUCGAGUAGGCGGGAAAGCAAGGCAGAUGUGAAAACUCAGGGCUCAACCCUGACCCUGCCUUUGGAACUGUUUUUCUUGAGUGCUGGGGAGGCAAUCGGAAUUCCGUGUGUAGCGGUGAAAUGCGUAGAUAUACGGAGGAACACCAGUGGCGAAGGCGGAUUGCUGGACAGUAACUGACGCUGAGGCGCGAAGGCGUGGGGAGCAAACAGGAUUAGAUACCCCAGUAGUC
This 443-nucleotide ribosomal RNA is filed under the name uncultured bacterium. RNAcentral describes it as "partial 16S ribosomal RNA". It matches the Rfam family "Bacterial small subunit ribosomal RNA", at positions 338 to 795 of the family's 1533-position model. The record is from RNAcentral.